GUGCUUGCUAUAGUGCAGCACAUAUACUAAAAUUGGAACGAUACAGAGAAGAUUAGCAUGGCCCCUGCACAAGGAUGACAUGCAAAUUCGUGAAGCAUUCCAUAUUUUU
Molecule: small nuclear RNA, 109 nt
Organism: Otolemur garnettii (small-eared galago)
Lineage: Eukaryota; Metazoa; Chordata; Mammalia; Primates; Galagidae
Source: Ensembl